This 497-nucleotide ribosomal RNA is filed under the name uncultured bacterium. RNAcentral's name for it is "partial 16S ribosomal RNA". It matches the Rfam family "Bacterial small subunit ribosomal RNA", at positions 28 to 507 of the family's 1533-position model. The record is from RNAcentral.
GAUGAACGCUGGCGGCGUGCCUAAUACAUGCAAGUCGAGCGAACAGACGAGGAGCUUGCUCCUCUGACGUUAGCGGCGGACGGGUGAGUAACACGUGGCUAACCUACCUAUAAGACUGGGAUAACUUCGGGAAACCGGAGCUAAUACCGGAUAAUAUAUUGAACCGCAUGGUUCAAUAGUGAAAGACGGUUUUGCUGUCACUUAUAGAUGGAUCCGCGCCGCACUAGCUAGUUGGUAAGGUAACGGCUUACCAAGGCAACGAUGCGUAGCCGACCUGAGAGGGUGAUCGGCCACACUGGAACUGAGACACGGUCCAGACUCCUACGGGAGGCAGCAGUAGGGAAUCUUCCGCAAUGGGCGAAGGCUUGACGGAGCAACGCCGCGUGAGUGAUGAAGGUCUUCGGAUCGUAAAACUCUGUUAUUAGGGAAGAACAAAUGUGUAAGUAACUAUGCACGUCUUGACGGUACCUAAUCAGAAAGCCACGGCUAACUACGUG